GGUUACGGGUCAAAUGUUAGGGCAGAGCAUUGUAUACGGUAGAAACAAUUGAUUAUAAGACUUGAAAAACAAACUACAUUAAGUAGAGGUGGCAGAAGGGGGCCCUGGCUAGAUAGAGGUGGCAGAAGGGGGCAGACUACUUAGAGGUAGCAGACUACAUAGAGGUGGCAGAAGGGGCCAGACUACAUAGAGGUGGCAGAAGGGGCCAGACUACAUAGAGGUGGCAGAAGGGGCCAGACUACAUAGAGGUGGCAGUAGGGGCCAGACUACAUAGAGGUGGCAGAAGGGGCCAGACUACAUAGAGGUGGCAGAAGGGGCCAGACUACAUAGAGGUGGCAGAAGGGGGUCCUGACUACAUAGAGGUGGCAGAAGGGGCCAGACUACAUAGAGGUAUGUUCUGCUUCAUGUUCCACGUCAGUACCACUACAACCCAGAGGAGGGCGCUCGUUCACAAGAAAAGGUGAGUAAAACAAACACCUCACCAAGCCUGUUACCAUAGCAGACACUAGCUAGCCCAGCUGAGGAGCAUCCUUCACACAGUGUGGUG
Oncorhynchus keta (chum salmon) is the source of this 547-nucleotide long non-coding RNA. RefSeq lists it as uncharacterized. The transcript has 3 exons. Lineage: Eukaryota; Metazoa; Chordata; Actinopteri; Salmoniformes; Salmonidae. The record is from RefSeq and is a predicted model, not a curated record.